AGCGAAAAUCAAUUAAUGGUAAAUUAUCUACCUUCCAAGUAGAAACUACGAGUUCAAUUCUCGUUUUUCGC
RNAcentral lists this transfer RNA (71 nucleotides) under Jaagichlorella hainangensis. RNAcentral describes it as "tRNA-Gly". It matches the Rfam family "tRNA". Rfam says of the family: Transfer RNA (tRNA) molecules are approximately 80 nucleotides in length. Their secondary structure includes four short double-helical elements and three loops (D, anti-codon, and T loops). Further hydrogen bonds mediate the characteristic L-shaped molecular structure. tRNAs have two regions of fundamental functional importance: the anti-codon, which is responsible for specific mRNA codon recognition, and the 3' end, to which the tRNAs corresponding amino acid is attached (by aminoacyl-tRNA synthetases). tRNAs cope with the degeneracy of the genetic code in two manners: having more than one tRNA (with a specific anti-codon) for a particular amino acid; and 'wobble' base-pairing, i.e. permitting non-standard base-pairing at the 3rd anti-codon position. The record is from RNAcentral. Lineage: Eukaryota; Viridiplantae; Chlorophyta; Trebouxiophyceae; Watanabeales; Watanabeaceae.